RNAcentral lists this non-coding RNA (162 nucleotides) under uncultured Eubacterium sp. The record is from RNAcentral. Lineage: Bacteria; Bacillati; Bacillota; Clostridia; Eubacteriales; Eubacteriaceae.
GGUUCCUGGCAGGGCGCCUGCCGGGAUGAAAAAGGAAUCCGGUGCAAAUCCGGAGCAGUCACCACUACUGUAAGGCGGACGGAUGAGCCACUGUGCCACUGGCGAAAGCUGGGAAGGCGGUUCAUCGGGGGGAGGCCAAGUCAGGAGACUUGCCAUAGAUUG